This 100-nucleotide small nuclear RNA is filed under the name Sorex araneus (European shrew). Lineage: Eukaryota; Metazoa; Chordata; Mammalia; Eulipotyphla; Soricidae. The record is from RNAcentral.
CUGCUCUGGCAGCAUAUAAACUAAAACUGGAACAAUACAGAGAUUAGCAAGACCCUUGCACAAGAAUGAUGCACAAAUUCAAGAAGCACUCUGUAUUUUU